This is a non-coding RNA of Phascolarctos cinereus (koala), 924 nucleotides long. NCBI's taxonomy places the organism in Eukaryota, Metazoa, Chordata, Mammalia, Diprotodontia, Phascolarctidae. The record is from RefSeq and is a predicted model, not a curated record.
GGCCCUUCCAGCUGCUUCGGUUUGUCUCUGUCUACUCCCGGAAUCACCCCAGCCCGGGAUAAGGGGCUGGAGCCACCCAAGGCCCACAGGCCGGUGGGGGGUGGGGUCGAGAGGGUCCUAUCUGCAGGCCUGCUUUGUGCUCUGCUCCUCUCCAAUGACACAUGGGCUAAGCAAGACAGUGGAGGAAUGGAGGCAAGAUGGUUCAGUUGACUCACCUGCGUAAUGUUUACAGCUAGUUAACCAAUCCAGGCCUCCUUGAUGCCUUGGGACACCAGAAGGAAGUCUCUAAUACAGGUGCACCCUGGGUGUACCCUGACUAGGUAUACCUAACACACACAAGAAGUCUCACUCUUCAAGGACCCCACAUCCCACUGAACCUUAUGAGCAAGCCUCCUGGGCUGAAGUCCUGAUCAAGACCAGAACGAAAACCAAAAAACCACCACCACAUAUAAAGUACUAUGGCAGGGAAUAGUGGGGAAGUAGUCUUGAGAGUCUUUCUGCAGUGGUUAUGCACGGGCUUGUCACUUUAUAGGAGAAUGUCGACUUGAAUAAACUCAAGAAGAGGAAAAAAUACUUUAAAGAGAUAGUUCUGCUCACGCCCCACAAAAAAAUGAAUGGGAGAGUUCCUCCUGCAACCCCUGAUGUCUGGUGUCACAUCUGCAGUCAAAUGAAUUUGGGUCAUGCUGACACCAAAGCCAACUGUAAAGUGUCUUGGUACUGGCAGUCUCUGUGGAAACAGUGUACCUCAACAAACACACUACGUAUUUGAAGAACUGUAAAAAUGUAAGCUAUGAGCUACACUUACUAUUUUUGGAUUAUAUGUCCCUGUUGGGCCAGUUCCAGGACUUUUACCUUCUCUGGCAUGACACAGUACCUAGCACAGAGAAGGCACCAAAUAAAUAUUUGAUCAAUAAAGUGGUAAAA